This 274-nucleotide ribosomal RNA is filed under the name uncultured bacterium. RNAcentral describes it as "partial 16S ribosomal RNA". It matches the Rfam family "Bacterial small subunit ribosomal RNA", at positions 523 to 796 of the family's 1533-position model. The record is from RNAcentral.
AUACGGAGUGUGCAAGCGUUGUUCGGAAUUACUGGGCUUAAAGAGCACGUAGGCGGACGUGUAAGUUAAGGGUGAAAUCCCUCGGCUCAACCGAGGAACUGCCUUUAAUACUGCAUGUCUCGAGGACAGGAGGGGAGAGUGGAAUUCCCGGUGUAGAGGUGAAAUUCGUAGAUAUCGGGAGGAACACCAGUGGCGAAGGCGGCCUUCUGGACGAUGACUGACGCUGAGGUGCGAAAGCGUGGGGAGCAAACAGGAUUAGAAACCCGUGUAGUCC